This 549-nucleotide ribosomal RNA is filed under the name uncultured Gammaproteobacteria bacterium. Its description in RNAcentral is "bacterial SSU rRNA". It matches the Rfam family "Bacterial small subunit ribosomal RNA", at positions 355 to 896 of the family's 1533-position model. Lineage: Bacteria; Pseudomonadati; Pseudomonadota; Gammaproteobacteria. The record is from RNAcentral.
UGUGGAAUUUUGGACAAUGGGCGCAACCUGAUCCAGCCAUGCCGCGUGAGUGAAGAAGGCCUUCGGGUUGUAAAGCUCUUUCAGACGGAAAGAAACGGUCNCGGCUAAUACCCGUGGCUAAUGACGGUACCGUAAGAAGAAGCACCGGCUAACUACGUGCCAGCAGCCGCGGUAAUACGUAGGGUGCGAGCGUUAAUCGGAAUUACUGGGCGUAAAGCGUGCGCAGGCGGUUUUGUAAGACAGAUGUGAAAUCCCCGGGCUUAACCUGGGAACUGCAUUUGUGACUGCCAGACUAGAGUGUAGCAGAGGGGGGUAGAAUUCCACGUGUAGCAGUGAAAUGCGUAGAUAUGUGGAGGAAUACCGAUGGCGAAGGCAACCCCCUGGGCUAACACUGACGCUCAUGCACGAAAGCGUGGGGAGCAAACAGGAUUAGAUACCCUGGUAGUCCACGCCCUAAACGAUGUCAACUAGGUGUUGGGGAAGGAGACUUCUUUAGUACCGCAGCUAACGCGAUAAGUUGACCGCCUGGGGAGUACGGUCGCAAGAUUA